GGGCCCGCACAAGCGGUGGAGCAUGUGGUUUAAUUCGAUGAUACGCGAGGAACCUUACCAGGGUUUAAAUGCAGAACGACAGGGGUGGAAACACCCCCUUCUUCGGACGGACUGCAAGGUGCUGCAUGGUUGUCGUCAGCUCGUGCUGUGAAGUGUCGGGUUAAGUCCCAUAACGAGCGCAACCCCCAUUUCUAGUUGCCAGCGGUUCGGCCGGGGACUCUAGAGAAACUGCCAGCGUAAGCUGUGAGGAAGGUGGGGACGACGUCAAAUCAUCACGGCCCUUACGUCCUGGGCCACACACGUGCUACAAUGGUAGGUACAGAGGGCGGCCAACUUGCGAGAGUGAGCGAAUCCCAAAAAGUGCGUCGUAGUCCGGAUUGGAGUCUGCAACUCGACUCCAUG
This 402-nucleotide ribosomal RNA is filed under the name uncultured bacterium. RNAcentral's name for it is "bacterial SSU rRNA". It matches the Rfam family "Bacterial small subunit ribosomal RNA", at positions 917 to 1322 of the family's 1533-position model. The record is from RNAcentral.